AAUUAGUUAUGAAUUUUUUAAUCUUCAAAGGUCUUCAGGGGACAUCAGUGGCGGGCUCAGAUGUAAGGCCCGCCACUGAUGUGUGUUUUGGUGAAUUUUGCAACUUUUUGCAUUGGGCCAUUAGUAACGGGCAUCCCGAGCCCGUCACUGAUGAGGGGGCCUUUCCCACCCGCCACGGAUGAGGGGCCAUCAGUGACGGAUUUUGUGCGCCCGUCACUGAUGAGGGGUCAUCGGUGGCAGGUUUUGUGCGUCCGUCACUGACGAGGGGUCAUCGGUGGCGGGCGGGAAAGGCCCGUUACUGAUGAGGGGUUAUCAGUGACGGGCUCGGGACGCCCGUCACUGAUGACUCGUCACUCUUAUGUUGUGUUUUGUAGUAGUGGGUAUAGUAGCCACUCUCUCAUUAGUCCGGCUUUUAGGAUGAGGAGGGCUCUUUAGUUAUAUGGUUGCGCCGGAUGCGCAUGAACGCCUGAAGCCCUUAACACCACACGAGUGUGUAGAGCUGGGCCUGGGACACUGACAAGUUGUGAGAUCGUUGCUUCAUCGAUAAAUGUUUAAAAAAACAAAAAAAAUAAUACCAAAAGACCAGUUACGAAAACCACGACGCCUGAACUAGGAUGAGAACGAAAUCAGGACACCAAUUUUUAGACGAACCUUGCAAAGCAUGUACCACCUGGACUCUGAUAUCACCAGUAUGCCCAAUAAAUCAGUGUAUCCGACCGCAUGCAUCAAUUAGAGCCCAACCGAAAACAAAACUUACACUCACGCUUAUAAGUCGAUCCCUACAUCCUCCCGUAACCAAGUGGAAGUAAAAUCCACAAUGCAAUAAUGAACUGCUAGGCGGAUUGGAGUGCGGAGACCUCAGCCAUACAUAUCCUUGUUAUUUCGAAAAGUUGUAAUAUAAAAAAUGCUGAUGAAUGCGAACGUGAAGGUGUAAAGCAUGUUGUUACUCCCAAUAAUUUUUCUUAUGGUUUUCAUAGUGCACUUUGCUUAUCUUAAAGGUCGGAGAGACACUGUGUCCUAACACACCAAGCAUUUUCGACGGAACCUUGGGUGUCCGAUUCAAUGUAAACUACACCGAAGCCGGGUUCAUGAAUCACGAACAUUGCGCAGAAGAGGACAAUCCGGCAAACCCGACGGUGGUUGCGUGCCCCGCCGCCGAACGACACUAGUAAAAUCCAUUGGUCUGCAUACUCAGUUAGAUUAGAUUAAGGCAUCAAGCCCCCAGAUGGCUGAUUCGGCGCGAGGGGCGCCCCCAUGUGUUCCGGGUUCGUGGCUGGCCGCGCGCGCGUCGCCAUCUCACGCACGUAUACAUAUGUUUUUGUUGCCCCCGAUCU
Molecule: long non-coding RNA, 1334 nt
Filed under: Brachypodium distachyon (stiff brome)
Lineage: Eukaryota; Viridiplantae; Streptophyta; Magnoliopsida; Poales; Poaceae
Description: long non-coding RNA (BDIS_LNC001641)
Source: RNAcentral